GUUUAGUGUUCAUUGAUUUGAUAGUAUAGAGUCAUUUAAUGAUGGCUACUGUUUCUAUGUUGAUAUAAUCCUAUUUAAUUUCCCAGGCUAGGGAAAAGACAACCAACUUCCAUCAGUGAAUGUGUCCUGUCUAGUGGAAACAUUCCUAGAACUCAUCCUGUCAAAUUUAUGAAUGGAAUACUUUUUGUCCUGUGCAUGGGGAACACAUACUAUGUUCUUGACUUUGUAUAUUUCUAAUGAAAUUUGGCAAAUACCCAGAAGUUGUACAUGGUUUUGUGCAAAAAUUGUAUUACACUUCCACACCCUGUGAAUUGGCCAUAUAUUGGCUUAGAAAAGGGAAUGUUGAGCAUAUACCUGAAAUUUAGUAAGCACUGUGAAAGGUAAGGUUUUUAGAUGAAAACUCUUGCUGUACAGAUAGAAAUCCAAGUAGGAUAAGCAGUAGGAGUAAUUUCCAUAGCCCUGCUGCUGUUGAAAAGCCUGUCAAGGGCUCUGGUCUUCCCUAUUGUUCUCUCCUCACCCAUGUGAUUGUGUUCUAUGCUUCAGAUCUCUGUGUUGUGAAGCCUCAGAAAAAGCAGAUUCAAAAUUUGGAAUGAUUCUCUUGACUACAUCUAGGAAGCUUGCUGACAUUCAUAUAGCACGAACAGGGACUCUUUGUCUGAAAUGAGUUUGUCCUGGCCCUGAGAUAGCAAGGACAUAAGUGGUUGAGUUUUUUUCUUGGCUCAAAUACACAUAAAGAACCUACCAUUGGCAGACACUUGGCCUCCAAAUUGGGAGAAAGUACAGUCAUAACUUGCAGCCCACUUUAGCUUCCAUUGUUCUCAGGAAGUGUCAAGCCCUCCAUGCCCUUAGAGAUGAGGGGCACAUAAUGUUACAUUUCACACAAUUCUGGACUUCUGUAUGUAUGAAAUCCUCCAGCCAGAUGUUAAAGAGGAGUGGAUACAUGGAAAAGGCUUAGUGGACAUUGGGCCAUGAGGGAGUAGUCCUGUUUUAAGUGUGGGUUAUUUGUGUGAUUGCUAUAACUGACAGCUGGAUAAAACUCAGGAUCCAUGCUGAUUGAAUCUCAGCAGUGAACCAAAUUCUGAGGCUAACCCAUUCAAAACAUUGCAGUGGAUUUUGUUGGGAUUUUAGAUACCCAAGCAUCAGAGGUGUCCUUGGGAACUUAAAGCUAGGCCAAGUGUGGAUUUCUCCACAACAUUAGAAAUAUCAGCCAGAAUUUCACACCACUUUUCUCUGUAAAGCCUUAUCUGGAAAUGUUGGGAGCCUGAAACACAUAUGUGCCUCACAUAUUAGACCCAUUUUCCUGUUGAAUAUGACCUCUUGGUCACUGUUUGGGAAGCUCUUGCUGCUUGUGUUCCCUAUAGAUUCCAGCUAAAGGAGAUUCCUUGCCAUUCAGGGGCCUCUGUAUCACUCCAGACCCCACAGCACCACUUAAUCCAUUUUGAAAUAUGGCUAUACCUAUACCUUGAAAUUUUUUAAGUUCCCUGGACGAUGAAUCACAGGAAUUUCUUAGAACCCCCUUUGCUCAACAUGAUUGAAUCAGAGGUAAACUUCAUUGUCCAGAACUCACUAAAAUGCUACAGAAC
This 1583-nucleotide long non-coding RNA is filed under the name Marmota monax (woodchuck). The record is from RNAcentral. Lineage: Eukaryota; Metazoa; Chordata; Mammalia; Rodentia; Sciuridae.